Molecule: long non-coding RNA, 407 nt
Organism: Ornithodoros turicata
Lineage: Eukaryota; Metazoa; Arthropoda; Arachnida; Ixodida; Argasidae
Exons: 2
Source: RefSeq, a predicted model, not a curated record
CAGGAGAUGAAGUGGCUAAAGAAGGAUCGGAAGCUGGAGAUCUGGAACCCGACUUGCCAGUUGCUGAUGAGGGAGGAGUUGUUGUUGUAUUGCCUGACCUUUGGCAUGUGCCUAUUACUCUGGCGGUGGAAAACUUCUUCAAUCAGCUUCGGGCAAAUCAAGAAUACAGUGUGGUCCGGAGAGAAAUAUUUGAAGACACCGUGGACCGAUUGGAAUGGGAACGGACUCGGAUUGAUUACACUGAUGACAUCCGCGAAGCGAUUACAGAGAUCGCACAUACGUUUAGAUUAUAUAAUAUUUUCGAGUUUGAUGCUGCUGGUCGGCGCAACGGUGUUCCCAGCCAGCACGACAUCCAUGAUGUUUUUUUUGUUCCUUGCAUUAAAUUUCGUCAGUUGAGAGUAAGCUGU